RNAcentral lists this ribosomal RNA (495 nucleotides) under uncultured bacterium. RNAcentral's name for it is "partial 16S ribosomal RNA". It matches the Rfam family "Bacterial small subunit ribosomal RNA", at positions 28 to 505 of the family's 1533-position model. The record is from RNAcentral.
GAUGAACGCUGGCGGCGUGCCUAAUACAUGCAAGUCGAGCGAACGGACGAGAAGCUUGCUUCUCUGAUGUUAGCGGCGGACGGGUGAGUAACACGUGGAUAACCUACCUAUAAGACUGGGAUAACUUCGGGAAACCGGAGCUAAUACCGGAUAAUAUUUUGAACCGCAUGGUUCAAAAGUGAAAGACGGUCUUGCUGUCACUUAUAGAUGGAUCCGCGCUGCAUUAGCUAGUUGGUAAGGUAACGGCUUACCAAGGCAACGAUGCAUAGCCGACCUGAGAGGGUGAUCGGCCACACUGGAACUGAGACACGGUCCAGACUCCUACGGGAGGCAGCAGUAGGGAAUCUUCCGCAAGGGGCGAAAGCCUGACGGAGCAACGCCGCGUGAGUGAUGAAGGUCUUCGGAUCGUAAAACUCUGUUAUUAGGGAAGAACAUAUGUGUAAGUAACUGUGCACAUCUUGACGGUACCUAAUCAGAAAGCCACGGCGAACUACG